Molecule: non-coding RNA, 87 nt
Filed under: Bacteriophage APSE-7
Lineage: Duplodnaviria; Heunggongvirae; Uroviricota; Caudoviricetes
Source: RNAcentral
GUCAAUGGUGGACUGGAUGGGGGAGCCGAAAGGCUCGCCGGGUCCUUUCUAGCCGGUUUUUGCAGCCCUGUUCAGUUCACCGCCAUA